This 498-nucleotide ribosomal RNA is filed under the name uncultured bacterium. RNAcentral describes it as "partial 16S ribosomal RNA". It matches the Rfam family "Bacterial small subunit ribosomal RNA", at positions 30 to 523 of the family's 1533-position model. The record is from RNAcentral.
AUUGAACGCUGGCGGCAUGCCUUACACAUGCAAGUCGAACGGUAACAGGUCUUCGGAUGCUGACGAGUGGCGAACGGGUGAGUAAUACAUCGGAACGUGCCCGAGAGUGGGGGAUAACGAGGCGAAAGCUUUGCUAAUACCGCAUACGAUCUCAGGAUGAAAGCAGGGGACCGCAAGGCCCUGCGCUCACGGAGCGGCCGAUGGCAGAUUAGGUAGUUGGUGGGAUAAAAGCUUACCAAGCCGACGAUCUGUACCUUGUCUGAGAGGACGACCAGCCACACUGGGACUGAGAAACGGCCCAGACUCCUACGGGAGGCAGCAGUGGGGAAUGUUGGACAAUGGGCGCAAGCCUGAUCCAGCCAUGCCGCGUGCAGGAUGAAGGCCUUCGGGUUGUAAACUGCUUUUGUACGGAACGAAAAGACUCUGGUUAAUACCUGGGGUCCAUGACGGUACCGUAAGAAUAAGCACCGGCUAACUACGUGCCAGCCGCCGCCGUAA